UACGUAGGGGGCAAGCGUUGUCCGGAAUCAUUGGGCGUAAAGCGCGUGUAGGCGGUCCGGUAAGUCCGCUGUGAAAGUCCAGGGCUCAACCCUGGGAUGCCGGUGGAUACUGUCGGGCUAGAGUACGGAAGAGGCGAGUGGAAUUCCCGGUGUAGCGGUGAAAUGCGCAGAUAUCGGGAGGAACACCAAUUGCGAAGGCAGCUCGCUGGGACGUUACUGACGCUGAGACGCGAAAGCGUGGGGAGCAAACAGG
This 253-nucleotide ribosomal RNA is filed under the name uncultured bacterium. Its description in RNAcentral is "partial 16S ribosomal RNA". It matches the Rfam family "Bacterial small subunit ribosomal RNA", at positions 524 to 776 of the family's 1533-position model. The record is from RNAcentral.